This 454-nucleotide ribosomal RNA is filed under the name uncultured bacterium. Its description in RNAcentral is "bacterial SSU rRNA". It matches the Rfam family "Bacterial small subunit ribosomal RNA", at positions 29 to 524 of the family's 1533-position model. The record is from RNAcentral.
AACGAACGCUGGCGGCAUGCCUAACACAUGCAAGUCGAACGAGACCUUCGGGUCUAGUGGCGCACGGGUGCGUAACGCGUGGGAACCUGCCUUUAGGUUCGGAAUAACUCAGAGAAACGAACGCUAAUACCGGAUGAGCCCUGCGGGGGAAAGAUUUAUCGCCAAAGGAGCAGCCCGCGUCUGAUUAGCUAGUUGGUGGGGUAAAGGCCUACCAAGGCGACGAUCAGUAGCUGGUCUGAGAGGAUGAUCAGCCACACUGGGACUGAGACACGGCCCAGACUCCUACGGGAGGCAGCAGUGGGGGAGUAUUGGACAAUGGGCGCAAGCCUGAUCCAGCCAUGCCGCGUGAGUGAUGAAGGCCUUCGGGUUGUAAGACUCUUUCGUCACGCGACGAUGAUGACGGUAGCGUGAGAAGAAGCCCCGGCUAACCUUACGUGCCAGCAGCCGCGGUAAU